Molecule: ribosomal RNA, 253 nt
Filed under: uncultured bacterium
Lineage: Bacteria
Description: partial 16S ribosomal RNA
Rfam family: Bacterial small subunit ribosomal RNA
Source: RNAcentral
UACGUAGGGUGCGAGCGUUAAUCGGAAUUACUGGGCGUAAAGCGUGCGCAGGCGGCUUUGUAAGACAGAUGUGAAAUCCCCGGGCUUAACCUGGGAACUGCGUUUGUGACUGCAAGGCUGGAGUGCGGCAGAGGGGGGUGAAAUUCCACGUGUAGCAGUGAAAUGCGUAGAGAUGUGGAGGAACACCGAUGGCGAAGGCAGCCCCCUGGGUUGACACUGACGCUCAUGCACGAAAGUGUGGGGAGCAUUCAGG